RNAcentral lists this ribosomal RNA (497 nucleotides) under uncultured bacterium. RNAcentral describes it as "partial 16S ribosomal RNA". It matches the Rfam family "Bacterial small subunit ribosomal RNA", at positions 28 to 507 of the family's 1533-position model. The record is from RNAcentral.
GAUGAACGCUGGCGGCGUGCCUAAUACAUGCAAGUCGAGCGAACGGACGAGAAGCUUGCUUCUCUGAUGUUAGCGGCGGACGGGUGAGUAACACGUGGAUAACCUACCUAUAAGACUGGGAUAACUUCGGGAAACCGGAGCUAAUACCAGAUAAUAUUUUGAACCGCAUGGUUCAAAAGUGAAAGACGGUCUUGCUGCCACUUAUAGAUGGAUCCGCGCUGCAUUAGCUAGUUGGUAAGGUAACGGCUUACCAAGGCAACGAUGCAUAGCCGACCUGAGAGGGUGAUCGGCCACACUGGAACUGAGACACGGUCCAGACUCCUACGGGAGGCAGCAGUAGGGAAUCUUCCGCAAUGGGCGAAAGCCUGACGGAGCAACGCCGCGUGAGUGAUGAAGGUCUUCGGAUCGUAAAACUCUGUUAUUAGGGAAGAACAUAUGUGUAAGUAACUGUGCACAUCUUGACGGUACCUAAUCAGAAAGCCACGGCUAACUACGUG